GACGAACGCUGGCGGCGUGCUUAACACAUGCAAGUCGAACGGAAAGGCCCUGCUUUUGUGGUAUGCUCGAGUGGCGAACGGGUGUGAAACACGUGAGUAACCUGCUCUUGACUUUGGGAUAACUUCAGGAAACUGGGGCUAAUACCGGAUAGGAGCUCCUGCUGCAUGGUGGGGGUUGGAAAGUUUCGGCGGUUGGGGAUGGACUCCCGGCUUAUCAGCUUGUUGGUGGGGUAGUGGCUUACCAAGGCUUUGACGGGCAGCCGGCCUGCGAGGGUGACCGGCCACAUUGGGAUGGGUAUACGGCCCGGCCUCCUACGGGGGGCGGCAGUGGGGAAUAUGGCAAAAUGGGCGAAAGCCUGAUGCAGCAACGCCGCGUGCGGGAUGACGGCCUUCGGGUUGUAAACCGCUUUCGCCUGUGACGAGGCGUGAGUGACGGUAAUGGGUAAAGAAGCACCGGCUAACUACGUG
Molecule: ribosomal RNA, 468 nt
Filed under: uncultured bacterium
Lineage: Bacteria
Description: partial 16S ribosomal RNA
Rfam family: Bacterial small subunit ribosomal RNA
Source: RNAcentral